Molecule: ribosomal RNA, 389 nt
Filed under: Clostridioides difficile
Lineage: Bacteria; Bacillati; Bacillota; Clostridia; Peptostreptococcales; Peptostreptococcaceae
Description: partial 23S ribosomal RNA
Rfam family: Bacterial large subunit ribosomal RNA
Source: RNAcentral
UUGGGGUUGCGGACAUAUCAUAACGAAGAGGUAUCGUAAUUGAAGAGGUUUGGAAAGACCCACCACAGAAGGUAAUAGUCCUGUAUGUUAAACGAGAAGACUUUAGAUAUGAUCCAGAGUACCACGGGACACGUGAAACCCUGUGGGAAGCAGGAGGGACCACCCUCCAAGGCUAAAUACUACCUAGUGACCGAUAGCGUAUAGUACCGUGAGGGAAAGGUGAAAAGAACCCCGGGAGGGGAGUGAAAUAGAGCCUGAAACCCUGCACUUACAAGCUGUGGAAGCACAUUUCUUGUGUGACCGCGUACUUUUUGUAGAACGGGCCAACGAGUUACGUUAAGUAGCAAGGUUAAGCACUUAAGGUGCGGAGCCGUAGCGAAAGCGAGUUU